This 305-nucleotide ribosomal RNA is filed under the name uncultured bacterium. Its description in RNAcentral is "bacterial SSU rRNA". It matches the Rfam family "Bacterial small subunit ribosomal RNA", at positions 337 to 634 of the family's 1533-position model. The record is from RNAcentral.
CCCUACGGGGCGCAGCAGUAGGGAAUCUUCCACAAUGGGCGAAAGCCUGAUGGAGCAACGCCGCGUGGGUGAAGAAGGUCUUCGGAUCGUAAAACCCUGUUGUUAGAGAAGAAAGUGCGUGAGAGUAACUGUUCACGUUUCGACGGUAUCUAACCAGAAAGCCACGGCUAACUACGUGCCAGCAGCCGCGGUGAUACGUAGGUGGCAAGCGUUAUCCGGAUUUAUUGGGCGUAAAGGGAACGCAGGCGGUCUUUUCAGUCUGAUGUGAAAGCCUUCGGCUUAACCGGAGUAGUGCAUUGGAAACU